GACGAACGCUGGCGGCGUGCUUAACACAUGCAAGUCGAACGGAAAGGCCCUGCUUUUGUGGGGUGCUCGAGUGGCGAACGGGUGAGUAACACGUUAGUAACCUGCCCUUGACUUUGGGAUAACUUCAGGAAACUGGGGCUAAUACCGGAUAGGAGCUCCUGCUGCAUGGUGUGGGUUGGAAAGUUUCGGCGGUUGGGGAUGGACUCGCGGCUUAUCAGCUUGUUGGUGGGGUAGUGGCUUACCAAGGCUUUGACGGGUAGCCGGCCUGAGAGGGUGACCGGCCACAUUGGGACUGAGAUACGGCCCAGACUCCUACGGGAGGCAGCAGUGGGGAAUAUUGCAAAAUGGGCGGAAGCCUGAUGCAGCAACGCCGCGUGCGGGAUGACGGCCUUCGGGUUGUAAACCGCUUUCGCCUGUGACGAAGCGUGAGUGACGGUAAUGGGUAAAGAAGAACCGGCUAACUACGUG
RNAcentral lists this ribosomal RNA (468 nucleotides) under uncultured bacterium. RNAcentral describes it as "partial 16S ribosomal RNA". It matches the Rfam family "Bacterial small subunit ribosomal RNA", at positions 28 to 507 of the family's 1533-position model. The record is from RNAcentral.